RNAcentral lists this ribosomal RNA (466 nucleotides) under uncultured bacterium. Its description in RNAcentral is "partial 16S ribosomal RNA". It matches the Rfam family "Bacterial small subunit ribosomal RNA", at positions 28 to 507 of the family's 1533-position model. The record is from RNAcentral.
GACGAACGCUGGCGGCGUGCUUAACACAUGCAAGUCGAACGGAAAGGCCCCUUUGGGGGUCCUCGAGUGGCGAACGGGUGAGUAACACGUGAGUAACCUGCCCUUGACUUCGGGAUAACUUCAGGAAACUGGGGCUAAUACCGGAUAGGAAUCCUUGCUGCAUGGUGGGGGUUGGAAAGCUUCGGCGGUUUUGGAUGGACUCGCGGCUUAUCAGCUUGUUGGUGGGGUAGUGGCUUACCAAGGCUUUGACGGGUAGCCGGCCUGAGGGGGCGACCGGCCAGAUUUGAGACCGAAAGCCGGCCGAGCCUCCGACGGGGGGGAGAGGGGGGAAAGUUUGAAGGAGGGGCGGAGGCUGAGUGAGGCAGGCCCGCGGGGGGGAUAACGCCCUUCGGGUUGAAGACCAUUUGCGGAAGGGGCAAGGCUUGUGGGGACGGUCCCUAAAAAGAAAGCCCCGGCUAACUACGUG